AACGAACGCUGGCGGCAUGCCUAACACAUGCAAGUCGAACGAUCCCUUCGGGGAUAGUGGCGCACGGGUGCGUAACGCGUGGGAACCUGCCCUUAGGUUCGGAAUAACUCAGAGAAAUUUGAGCUAAUACCGGAUAAUGUCUUCGGACCAAAGAUUUAUCGCCUUUGGAUGGGCCCGCGUUGGAUUAGCUAGUUGGUGGGGUAAAGGCCUACCAAGGCGACGAUCCAUAGCUGGUCUGAGAGGAUGAUCAGCCGCACUGGGACUGAGACACGGCCCAGACUCCUACGGGAGGCAGCAGUGGGGAAUAUUGGACAAUGGGCGAAAGCCUGAUCCAGCAAUGCCGCGUGAGUGAUGAAGGCCUUAGGGUUGUAAAGCUCUUUUACCCGGGAUGAUAAUGACAGUACCGGGAGAAUAAGCCCCGGCUAACUCCGUG
RNAcentral lists this ribosomal RNA (433 nucleotides) under uncultured bacterium. RNAcentral's name for it is "partial 16S ribosomal RNA". It matches the Rfam family "Bacterial small subunit ribosomal RNA", at positions 29 to 507 of the family's 1533-position model. The record is from RNAcentral.